Small nuclear RNA from Artibeus jamaicensis (Jamaican fruit-eating bat), 106 nucleotides. The record is from RefSeq and is a predicted model, not a curated record. Lineage: Eukaryota; Metazoa; Chordata; Mammalia; Chiroptera; Phyllostomidae.
GUGCUCGCUUUGGCAGCACGUGUACUAAAAUUGGAACGAUACAGAGAAGGUUAGCACAGCCCUGUGCGAGGAUGAUGCACAAAUUCAUGAAGUGUUCCAUAUUUUU